CUUUGUGGAAUAAGCUGUGCAAACAGGAGAACCUCGGCCUGGUGUCUGUGCGUAUGGUGACCAGUAAAUGGUACACGCAGUUUCAAGUCUACUUUGCUCGCAUAAUAGCGAGUAGUGAAUCCACACUGGUUUGCAGCAACAAGCAACGCUGAUGCUGGCGAGAGUGUGCACAGCUAUUAGUCAUCCACACUGGUAUAACUUUAUUGG
Long non-coding RNA from Alosa sapidissima (American shad), 207 nucleotides. RefSeq lists it as uncharacterized. Lineage: Eukaryota; Metazoa; Chordata; Actinopteri; Clupeiformes; Clupeidae. The record is from RefSeq and is a predicted model, not a curated record. The transcript has 3 exons.